This 468-nucleotide ribosomal RNA is filed under the name uncultured bacterium. Its description in RNAcentral is "partial 16S ribosomal RNA". It matches the Rfam family "Bacterial small subunit ribosomal RNA", at positions 28 to 507 of the family's 1533-position model. The record is from RNAcentral.
GACGAACGCUGGCGGCGUGCUUAACACAUGCAAGUCGAACGGAAAGGCCCUGCUUUUGUGGGGUGCUCGAGUGGCGAACGGGUGAGUAACACGUGAGUAACCUGCCCUUGACUUUGGGAUAACUUCAGUAAACUGGGGCUAAUACCGGAUAGGAGCUCCUGCUGCAUGGUGGUGGUUGGAAAGUUUCGGCGGUUGGGGAUGGACUCGCGGCUUAUCAGCUUGUUGGUGGGGUAGUGGCUUACCAAGGCUUUGACGGGUAGCCGGCCUGAGAGGGUGACCGGCCACAUUGGGACUGAGAUACGGCCCAGACUCCUACGGGAGGCAGCAGUGGGGAAUAUUGCACAAUGGGCGGAAGCCUGAUGCAGCAACGCCGCGUGCGGGAUGACGGCCUUCGGGUUGUAAACCGCUUUCGCCUGUGACGAAGCGUGAGUGACGGUAAUGGGUAAAGAAGCACCGGCUAACUACGUG